GCUGGGCUUGGUAGCGUGAGCCUGUAACCUAAGUGGGAGCAUUAAGAUGGUGGAAUAGUUGGCCUUUCCCUGAAGGCUGGGCCUUGGUUGCUAUCUACUGGCUUGCCCGUUCCAAGUGGUGAGUUGUGCCAUAGACUCUCUACGAAGGCGUAGGGUUCUCGGUCCUUAGAUUGGAGGGCACCGCGUGAGGCUAGCUUCACAGAGCAGCGAAAACCUCCUCCUCUCUGUAGUGGAAGGAUAACGGGCCGGUGCAUCCUCUACCCACUAGCACCUGAUGGGCUGUCCAAAUUGAACCACCAUCUUU
RNAcentral lists this signal recognition particle RNA (304 nucleotides) under Ipomoea nil (Japanese morning glory). RNAcentral describes it as "Plant signal recognition particle RNA". It matches the Rfam family "Plant signal recognition particle RNA". The record is from Rfam by way of RNAcentral. Lineage: Eukaryota; Viridiplantae; Streptophyta; Magnoliopsida; Solanales; Convolvulaceae.